CCUACGGGUGGCAGCAGUGAGGAAUAUUGGUCAAUGGCCGUAAGGCUGAACCAGCCAAGUAGCGUGAGGGAAGCAUGCCCUAUGGGUUGUAAACCUCUUUUAUUCGGGGAUAAAGGUGUCCACGUGUGGAUGUUUGCAGGUACCGCAUGAAUAAGGACCGGCUACUUCCGUGCCAGCAGCCGCGUUAAUACGGCGGGUACGGGCGUUAUCAGGAUGUAUUGGGUUUGAAGGGAGAGUAGGACGGUCUUGAAGCGUGCCGGGAAAUUUUGUGGCUCAACCAUGAGAGUGCGGCGCGAACUGGAGACCUUGAGGGCGCGGAAGGCAGGCGGAAUGCGUGGUGUAGCGGUGAAAUGCUUAGAUAUCACGAAGAACCCCGAUUGCGAAGGCAGCCUGCCGCAGCGUUACUGACGCUGAAGCUCGAAAGCGCGGGUAUCGAACAGGAUUAGAUACCCCAGUAGUC
This 460-nucleotide ribosomal RNA is filed under the name uncultured bacterium. RNAcentral describes it as "partial 16S ribosomal RNA". It matches the Rfam family "Bacterial small subunit ribosomal RNA", at positions 338 to 795 of the family's 1533-position model. The record is from RNAcentral.